This 504-nucleotide ribosomal RNA is filed under the name uncultured bacterium. RNAcentral describes it as "partial 16S ribosomal RNA". It matches the Rfam family "Bacterial small subunit ribosomal RNA", at positions 28 to 507 of the family's 1533-position model. The record is from RNAcentral.
GACGAACGCUGGCGGCGUGCCUAAUACAUGCAAGUAGAACGCACAGUUUAUACCGUAGCUUGCUCCACCAUAGACUGUGAGUUGCGAACGGGUGAGUAACGCGUAGGUAACCUGCCUGGUAGCGGGGGAUAACUAUUGGAAACGAUAGCUAAUACCGCAUAAUAUUGAUUAUUGCAUGAUAAUUAAUUGAAAGGUGCAAUUGCACCACUACCAGAUGGACCUGCGUUGUAUUAGCUAGUAGGUGAGGUAACGGCUCACCUAGGCGACGAUACAUAGCCGACCUGAGAGGGUGAUCGGCACACUGGGACGGAGACACGGCCCAGACUCCUACGGGAGGGAGCAGUAGGGAAUCUUCGGCAAUGGACGAAAGUCUGACCGAGCAACGCCGCGUGAGUGAAGAAGGUUGUCGGAUCGUAAAGCUCGGUUGUAAGAGAAGAACGGGUGUGAGAGUGGAAAGUUCACACUGUGACGGUAUCUUACCAGAAAGGGACGGCUAACUACGUG